UUCAGCUUCUGUAGUCAUAUGCUUGUCUCAGUCGUACAAGGUUUCACUGUAAUCAUAUGCUUGUCUCCCUUCGAAACAAGGUUUCACUGUAGAAACGUGCUUAACCUCUAGCUAAAACAUGUGCAAAAGCCCCACUUCGGGAGGGGGGGGAUUGUUCGAUAAAAAAACAAUGCCCUUCGGGUUUUCUUGGUGAUGGAAGAUAACUUUCUGAUCGCAUGGCCCCGCUCCCGCCAUCGAUCAUUCAAAUUUCUGCCAUAUUAACUUUCCAAGGUCAGGUAUUGGCUGACCAUGGAUCCGACGGGCAAGGGGGAACAAAGGGACGGGGCAUGAGGCUGAGCCUGAGAACCGGCAACCUGAUCCCCCGAAGGCAGCAGGCGCGCAGGCUCCCCGUUCGCGAAUUACGCAAGCAGGGACAAGAAAUACUGAGACAGGGCUCUUUUGUGUAUUGUCUCUGGAAUGAGUACAAUAUAGACCUCAUAACCAGUAACAAUUGUACGGCAGUACUGGUGCCAGGGGCCGCCUGAAGUCCAGCUCCGAUAGCGUAUAUGAUAGUUGUUGCGCUUUACAAGCUCGUAGUUCGAAACUUGGGCCUGGGUGGAAGGUCCACCGUCACCGCGGGUACUGGUCCGUCCGGGACUUGCCCUCUGGAAACCCCUGUGCCCUUCAGUAGUCAUGCGGGAGAACGGGGAAUCUACCUUUGAAAUCAUUAGAGUUGGACGAAGCAAGACUGUGCUCAGAACGCUUAACUCGGAACCAAAGACAUAGGACGUGGGGUCCUGUUUUGUUGGUUUCCUACGAGCUCCGUAGUGAUCACUAGAGCACAGUCGGGGGCAAAGGGAUUCAGUUGGCGGAAGUUGAAAUUCUUGUAAUUACUGAUAGAACUAACCUACGGUCAAAACAUUAGUGCAACGGAAGCUAUUCAUUUAUUGCAUGAGACUGAAUGUCAUGGGACCGGAAAACAAUUUCAGUGCCAUCGUACACCUAUACCGUAACACUUGCGCGCACCUUCGGACCGGGCGGCAGCUACUAUUGGCUCUACCGAUCAGUCUGCACUGACUACAACUUCCUUCAGGUUCUUUUGGCGAGUAAGGUGAGAAAUGAGUGGGCGAUAGGGGGUAGAACUUACAGCAACUGGAAAGGGAAGCGUCAUCGCAAUGGGCUGCUGAACCGCGGCCGACUUUAUCUCGGCCAACCGCGGGAUAAGCCUUCGCACCCGGUACUAGCAAUCAUGUGCUAUGGUCUAGGAUCCGAUUGCUCAUGUUUUCUGUCG
This 1270-nucleotide ribosomal RNA is filed under the name Rhizophagus intraradices. RNAcentral describes it as "bacterial SSU rRNA". The stretch from base 1 to 950 matches the Rfam family "Eukaryotic small subunit ribosomal RNA", at positions 59 to 1116 of the family's 1831-position model. The record is from RNAcentral. Lineage: Eukaryota; Fungi; Glomeromycota; Glomeromycetes; Glomerales; Glomeraceae.